RNAcentral lists this transfer RNA (72 nucleotides) under Dulcicalothrix desertica PCC 7102. RNAcentral describes it as "Calothrix desertica PCC 7102 tRNA". It matches the Rfam family "tRNA". From Rfam's summary of the family: Transfer RNA (tRNA) molecules are approximately 80 nucleotides in length. Their secondary structure includes four short double-helical elements and three loops (D, anti-codon, and T loops). The record is from Rfam by way of RNAcentral. Lineage: Bacteria; Bacillati; Cyanobacteriota; Cyanophyceae; Nostocales; Calotrichaceae.
GGGUGGUUGGCAGAGUGGUUAUGCAGCUGACUUUUAAUCAGCACCAUAGAGGUUCGAUUCCUCUACCACCCA